RNAcentral lists this ribosomal RNA (253 nucleotides) under uncultured bacterium. RNAcentral's name for it is "partial 16S ribosomal RNA". It matches the Rfam family "Bacterial small subunit ribosomal RNA", at positions 524 to 776 of the family's 1533-position model. The record is from RNAcentral.
UACGGAGGGGGCUAGCGUUGUUCGGAAUUACUGGGCGUAAAGCGUACGUAGGCGGCUUUGUAAGUUAGAGGUGAAAGCCCGGGGCUCAACUCCGGAAUUGCCUUUAAGACUGCAUCGCUUGAAUCAUGGAGAGGUGAGUGGAAUUCCGAGUGUAGAAGUGAAAUUCGUAGAUAUUCGGAAGAACACCAGUGGCGAAGGCGACUCACUGGACAUGUACUGACGCUGAGGUACGAAAGCGUGGGGAGCAAACAGG